RNAcentral lists this ribosomal RNA (496 nucleotides) under uncultured bacterium. Its description in RNAcentral is "partial 16S ribosomal RNA". It matches the Rfam family "Bacterial small subunit ribosomal RNA", at positions 30 to 523 of the family's 1533-position model. The record is from RNAcentral.
AUUGAACGCUGGCGGAAUGCUUUACACAUGCAAGUCGAACGGUAGAGGGGGCAACCCCUCGAGAGUGGCGAACGGGUGAGUAAUAUAUCGGAACGUGCCCAGUCGUGGGGGAUAACUAGUCGAAAGAUUAGCUAAUACCGCAUACGCCCUGAGGGGGAAAGCUGGGGAUCUUCGGACCUAGCGUUAAUGGAGCGGCCGAUAUCUGAUUAGCUAGUAGGUGAGGUAAAAGCUCACCUAGGCGACGAUCAGUAGCUGGUCUGAGAGGACGACCAGCCACACUGGAACUGAGACACGGUCCAGACUCCUACGGGAGGCAGCAGUGGGGAAUUUUGGACAAUGGGGGCAACCCUGAUCCGGCCAUUCCGCGUGAGUGAAGAAGGCCUUCGGGUUGUAAAGCUCUUUCGCAAGGGAAGAAAACUUAACCUCUAACAUAGGUUGAGGCUGACGGUACCUUGAUAAGAAGCACCGGCUAACUACGUGCCAGCCGCCGCCGUAA